UUGGUGCCGAUUUUAUGCGAAAGCAUGAAUGAAGUUAAAAGGGAAUCAGGUGAGAGUCCUGAGCAGUCCCGCUGCUGUAUGCCCUGUUGUGACAUGCGCCUGCAGGCCACUGGUUAUCAGAAACGAAAUAAUCGGGAAGGCGCGCAUGUCGGGGUAAGCCAGAAGACCUGCCUAUGCCG
RNAcentral lists this non-coding RNA (179 nucleotides) under bovine gut metagenome. The record is from RNAcentral.